RNAcentral lists this ribosomal RNA (406 nucleotides) under uncultured bacterium. RNAcentral's name for it is "partial 16S ribosomal RNA". It matches the Rfam family "Bacterial small subunit ribosomal RNA", at positions 29 to 526 of the family's 1533-position model. The record is from RNAcentral.
AUUGAACGCUGGCGGCAGGCCUAACACAUGCAAGUCGAACGAGUGGCGGACGGGUGAGUAAUGUCUGGGAAACUGCCUGAUGGAGGGGGAUAACUACUGGAAACGGUAGCUAAUACCGCAUACCAUCAGAUGUGCCCCGAUGGGAUUAGCUAGGUGGUGGGGUAACGGCUCACCAAGGCGACGAUCCCUAGCUGGUCUGAGAGGAUGACCAGCCACACUGGAACUGAGACACGGGCCAGACUCCUACGGGAGGCAGCAGUGGGGAAUAUUGUACAAUGGGCGAAAGCCUGAUGCAGCAAUGCCGCGGGUAUGAAGAAGGCCUUCGGGUUGUAAAGCACUGUCAGCGGGGAGGCGUUACCCGAAGAGGAAGCACCGGCUAACUCCGUGCCAGCAGCCGCGGUAAUUC